Long non-coding RNA from Crotalus tigris (Tiger rattlesnake), 2340 nucleotides. RefSeq lists it as uncharacterized. The transcript is spliced from 2 exons. The record is from RefSeq and is a predicted model, not a curated record. Lineage: Eukaryota; Metazoa; Chordata; Lepidosauria; Squamata; Viperidae.
UUUCUUUUUAGCCCCCUUUUCUUUCUGCCCUUUAGCUGUAUAACUAUUUUAUCAUGUAAAUCUAUAAUUUAAGGAACUUUUGUUAAUUUUAUGUAUUUUAUGGAAGGGAACCCAGUAGAUUUUUAAGGAAAAUUUUAGAACAGUUGGUAUGCAAACAAGGUUAGGUUAAACAAAUUAAGUAUGAUGUUUUUUCCUAUAUAUUGUAUUUUCAUAUUUUUAAGCUUGAAGUAGUUGAACUGUUUAGAAGCAGGCAAACUUUAAAACCUGUAGAAAAAACUACCAUAUAUAUUAAGGAGUUCCAAGAAAUGAUAAAUCUGUCCAACAACAUUCAAAAUUAAAUCAAAUGGAUCAAUAUACUAAAUGAUUAAUCUGUCAAACAAUAGCUUUUGAAUUCUUUAAAGAUACUUCAUUUAUCUUUUUGAUGUAUUGCUGUGAUAUAGAUAAGAAAAAAGUAUGAAAAAUACGAUUGCAGUACUCAGCAAAAAGUACAUUGUGACUAUAGUAUAAUAAUGGAUAUUAUAGUUAUUUUGUGUUUUCUGAAUAGCAGAUAUGAAGCAAUACUAUAAGCCUACCACAGAUUUGCAAGGAUAUAUCCUAAAAGAUAGCAGAUAAUUUAUAUAGCUUUCUCUAGCUUCUUUUUAGUCCCUGAGAACCAUUGGGUUAUUGAUCCUUUUAAUUGCAGUCAGGUUUGUAUAUAUUGGGACAAUGCUAAGUUUUGGUCUGUAUGAAUUAAAAUGGCUGCCAUUCCUCAGUGGUUAAUACCAAACUUUUGUCAAACCUCUUGAAUUAAAGGUGAAAGUCUUCACUUUGGUCACAUCUUGAAUGUUUCUUUUCAAAUACAGUGUGGUGGUUAUACAAAUGCUAAAAACCUUCCAUUGUCCCAAUACAUACAAACUUGACUAUAUACUUUUACAAUGGUAAUUUUCCCCCUCAGUUCAAUUUUUAAGAAGGAACACUGUAUAGAAUAGGUAGUCAGAAGAUUUAAGUGCUGUCCCAUUAUUGCAUGAAGGAUAAUCCACAGCAUGUAUCUACAGCACAGUGUCAAACAUUGCGUCACGCGAUGUAUCAUGACGUAUUGCGACUUUUUUGCCUUUGCGGAACCAGGGCGGGCAUGGCCUGCAUGUGACACAUCUCACCCACGGGCUGCUAGUUUGACACCACUGAUCCACAGCAUUAAGAAGAAUCUAGUGUAAUCAUUACAGGAAGAAGGAAUUAAAUAUUCCUGAUCUCAGUGCUAGUUGCUGUGUGUAUCACGAAUGCUAUGUGCCUAAUUUUUAAAAUCUUUACAUAAAACCUCUAUAACUUGGCAUAGAGGUUAUAGGUUGGGCAUGGGGGCUGUAUCAUUGAUUAUGCAUGCUUCUUUACUUGUAAAAGAAGUAAUAAAUAAAACAUUGUGGUAUAGUGAUUAAGGUGUGGAUUAGAAGUUGGAAGACCAGGGUUCUUGAGAUAGUGUUGAAAAAUAGGUUUGUACUUUUAGAUUUAAGCACAUAUCUCAUAAAAAUAUUAACAUUAAUUUGUAUUAAUAAUGAUAUGUUGCUUAGCAACUUUUAAACUCCACAGUACAUCAGCUUUGCUUCAGAAAUUUGACUAAUAUUUGAUUGUCUUCAUUUCUUAAACAUUUGAUAACAUACAUUUUCUUUUUUGUUACUUUCCUAUUGCAAUACCUUAUGGAAGAGCCAACUGGACACAAUUUAUAAGGUUAACUUUCAAUAAGUUAGCAGUUUUAAAGAUAAAAAUAUCUUAGUGAAAAGACUUGUUCAGUAAGAAGUAUAUGCAUUACACAAAAACAUUUUUUAAGUCAAGUCCCUGGUGUCUUUGAAUAUGCAUGUAGGUAUAUGUAUGCAACAAAGAGCCCAUGGGAUUUCUUACUACUCUAUUCUCCUGGUAAACUUCCAACAAAUCAACUUUAUUACAAAUUAUUUUAUGCUACUUCAGUCAUCUGACUGACUUAUAGAACAACAUACUAUGUAUAACAAUAAUUGAAUAGUUUAUCCACAUUAUAAAAUUAUAAUAAAUACUUUCAACAUAACUAAUAUCAUAAAAAUUAUACAACAUUAUAAUAUCAAAUUUAUUCCUCAGGUAUAUCUCCCAUUUUUGGCUGAGUUCUAAAAUACAUUUAAAGAGCCAAACUUUUAAAAACUUCAUGAACAUUAAAAGUGUUAUGUUCCAGAGACUAACUGUGGCAAAUAAAAAUCUGGAGACCUUGAACAUAUGGAAAUUGGGAAGGUUAGGUUCCAGAGCUCCAGAAAACAAGCAGAAAGGGGGAAAUCAUCUUACCUCCCAUUCUUUUUAUUGAGAAUAAAGACUAAAUAAAAGAACAAAUAAAUAUUUUUUUAAAUA